This 107-nucleotide small nuclear RNA is filed under the name Dasypus novemcinctus (nine-banded armadillo). Lineage: Eukaryota; Metazoa; Chordata; Mammalia; Cingulata; Dasypodidae. The record is from RNAcentral.
GUGCUCGCUUCCGCAGCACAUAUACUACAAUUGGAACGAUACAGAGAAGAUUAGCCAGGCUCCUCCGCAAGGAUGACAUGCAAAUCUGCCAAGUGUUCCAUAAUUUU